Homo sapiens (human) is the source of this 394-nucleotide long non-coding RNA. RefSeq annotates it as SLC60A2 divergent transcript. The transcript is spliced from 3 exons. Lineage: Eukaryota; Metazoa; Chordata; Mammalia; Primates; Hominidae. The record is from RefSeq and is a predicted model, not a curated record.
GCCGGCUCCCCGGUCUCCUGGGGAGCGAAGGGAGCCUGAAGAGCUGGUCCUUAUACAGCUUUCUGAAAUCCCUGAGAUCUGUCAAUGAAUCGCGCAUCUUUCACUCCACAAGUAUUUGUUGAACGUCAUUGUGAUCAUGCUGGCUGCUGUGUGGAGAAAAGACCGAGGGGAAGUAAAAGAACAAAGAACAAAAGAGAACAUGAUGGCUUGGAUCAAGAAUCACCAUUAGCUCCCUUCUGAUGAAGCAGGAGUUGACUCAGCUGGGCUUUCAGCUGGACACGGAAAGCGGAGGUAGAUGAAUUGUCAUGAUCAAGUGGGUGUCAUCAAGUACUUAGAAAGGUUUCAUUUUGUUCCUACUGUCUUUCCAACUUACUAAUAAAAAUAUUGAAAUCUA